Molecule: ribosomal RNA, 467 nt
Filed under: uncultured bacterium
Lineage: Bacteria
Description: partial 16S ribosomal RNA
Rfam family: Bacterial small subunit ribosomal RNA
Source: RNAcentral
GACGAACGCUGGCGGCGUGCUUAACACAUGCAAGUCGAACGGAAAGGCCCUGCUUUUGUGGGGUGCUCGUGUGGCGAACGGGUGAGUAACACGUGAGUAACCUGCCCUUGACUUUGGGAUAACUUCAGGAAACUGGGGCUAAUACCGGAUAGGAGCUCCUGCUGCAUGGUGGGGGUUGGAAAGUUUCGGCGGUUGGGGAUGGACUCGCGGCUUAUCAGCUUGUUGGUGGGGUAGUGGCUUACCAAGGCUUUGACGGGUAGCCGGCCUGAGAGGGUGACCGGCCACAUUGGGACUGAGAUACGGCCCAGACUCCUACGGGAGGCAGCAGUGGGGAAUAUUGCACAAUGGGCGGAAGCCUGAUGCAGCAACGCCGCGUGCGGGAUGACGGCCUUCGGGUUGUAAACCGCUUUCGCCUGUGACGAAGCGUGAGUGACGGUAAUGGGUAAAGAAGCACCGGCUAACUACGU